RNAcentral lists this transfer RNA (73 nucleotides) under Trichonephila inaurata madagascariensis. RNAcentral's name for it is "tRNA-Ile". It matches the Rfam family "tRNA". Rfam says of the family: Transfer RNA (tRNA) molecules are approximately 80 nucleotides in length. Their secondary structure includes four short double-helical elements and three loops (D, anti-codon, and T loops). Lineage: Eukaryota; Metazoa; Arthropoda; Arachnida; Araneae; Nephilidae. The record is from RNAcentral.
CACCUAUAGAGCAAUGGAUAGCGCGUUGGACUUAUAAUCCAAAGGUUGUGGGUUCGAAUCCCACCUAGGAUGG